This 66-nucleotide transfer RNA is filed under the name Loxodonta africana (African savanna elephant). It matches the Rfam family "tRNA". Rfam says of the family: Transfer RNA (tRNA) molecules are approximately 80 nucleotides in length. Their secondary structure includes four short double-helical elements and three loops (D, anti-codon, and T loops). Further hydrogen bonds mediate the characteristic L-shaped molecular structure. tRNAs have two regions of fundamental functional importance: the anti-codon, which is responsible for specific mRNA codon recognition, and the 3' end, to which the tRNAs corresponding amino acid is attached (by aminoacyl-tRNA synthetases). tRNAs cope with the degeneracy of the genetic code in two manners: having more than one tRNA (with a specific anti-codon) for a particular amino acid; and 'wobble' base-pairing, i.e. permitting non-standard base-pairing at the 3rd anti-codon position. The record is from Rfam by way of RNAcentral. Lineage: Eukaryota; Metazoa; Chordata; Mammalia; Proboscidea; Elephantidae.
ACUGGUGGAGGAAUGGGUGUUUGGCUGUUAACCAAAAGGUAGGUGGUUCAAACCCACCCAGCAGCU